UUAGAUUUUUCCCAAGGUGAAAGAACUAAAAUAUUCUGUUUUAGACACUGGGCUGGGAUGGUUUAGUCAGGGGUGAUACUACCUUGAGCAUGGGGCUGGACUAGAUGGCUUUGUGAGAUCCCAUCCAGCCCUACUUUCCUAGAAUGCCCCUGUGGCAGCAAUGACCCAUUUGAAUGUCUGCCCUAUCAACUUUCAAUGGUACUUUCUGUGCCUACCAUGGUGACAACAGGUGACAGGGAAUCAGGGUUCAAUUCUA
RNAcentral lists this non-coding RNA (256 nucleotides) under Alligator mississippiensis (American alligator). Its description in RNAcentral is "Eukaryotic small subunit ribosomal RNA". It matches the Rfam family "Eukaryotic small subunit ribosomal RNA", at positions 139 to 385 of the family's 1831-position model. Lineage: Eukaryota; Metazoa; Chordata; Crocodylia; Alligatoridae. The record is from Rfam by way of RNAcentral.